GACGAACGCUGGCGGCGUGCUUAACACAUGCAAGUCGAACGGAAAGGCCCUGCUUUUGUGGGGUGCUCGAGUGGCGAACGGGUGAGUAACACGUGAGUAACCUGCCCUUGACUUUGGGAUAACUUCAGGAAACUGGGGCUAAUACCGGAUAGGAGCUCCUGCUGCAUGGUGGGGGUUGGAAAGUUUCGGCGGUUGGGGAUGGACUCGCGGCUUAUCAGCUUGUUGGUGGGGUAGUGGCUUACCAAGGCUUUGACGGGUAGCCGGCCUGAGAGGGUGACCGGCCACAUUGGGACUGAGAUACGGCACAGACUCCUACGGGAGGCAGCAGUGGGGAAUAGUGCACAAUGGGCGGAAGCCUGAUGCAGUAACGCCGCGUGGGGGAUGACGGCCUUCGGGUUGUAAUGCGCUUUCGCCUGUGACGAAGCGUGAGUGACAGUAAUGGGUAAAGAAGCACCGGCUAACUACGU
RNAcentral lists this ribosomal RNA (467 nucleotides) under uncultured bacterium. RNAcentral's name for it is "partial 16S ribosomal RNA". It matches the Rfam family "Bacterial small subunit ribosomal RNA", at positions 28 to 506 of the family's 1533-position model. The record is from RNAcentral.